RNAcentral lists this ribosomal RNA (468 nucleotides) under uncultured bacterium. Its description in RNAcentral is "partial 16S ribosomal RNA". It matches the Rfam family "Bacterial small subunit ribosomal RNA", at positions 28 to 507 of the family's 1533-position model. The record is from RNAcentral.
GACGAACGCUGGCGGCGUGCUUAACACAUGCAAGUCGAACGGAAAGGCCCGGCGUUUGUGGGGUGCUCGAUUGGCGAACGGGUGAGUAACACGUGAGUAACCUGCCCUUGUCUUUGUGAUAACUUCAGGAAACUGGGGCGAAUACCGGAUAGGAUCUACUGCUGCAUGGUGGGGGUUGGAAAGUUUCGGCGUUUGUGGAUGGACUCGCGGCUUAUCAGCUUGUUUGUGGGGUAGUGGCUUACCAAGGCUUUGACGGGUAGCCGGCCUGAGAGGGUGACCGGCCACAUUGGGACUGAGAUACGGACCAGACUCCUACGUGAGGCAGCAGUGGGGAACAUUGCACAAUGGGCGGACGCCUGAUGCAGAAACGCCGCGUGCGGGAUGACGGCCUUCGGGUUGUAAACCGCUUUCGCCUGUGACGAAGCGUGAGUGACGGUAAUGGGUAAAGAAGCAACGGCUAACUACGUG